Long non-coding RNA from Melitaea cinxia (Glanville fritillary), 494 nucleotides. RefSeq lists it as uncharacterized. The transcript has 3 exons. NCBI's taxonomy places the organism in Eukaryota, Metazoa, Arthropoda, Insecta, Lepidoptera, Nymphalidae. The record is from RefSeq and is a predicted model, not a curated record.
GCUGGUGCCGGGGUGGCGGAUGAUCUCCAGCAGCUGCAUCUUGUCCACGGGAGAGAAGUAGUGCAUGCCUGGGUGUUGUCGUAAUAGGCAAAUGAAGAAAAACCGCCUUCAAUUAUAUCAACAAGUAAUAAUACAACUCUGUCCACGGAAGAGACUAAUGAGCCCUUUGCUCUGUGGAGUCAUGGCGAGCUCGCCGAAGCCCUGCGCCUCCGCCUCGUAGCCAGCUACGGGGCCCUUGUCUACACCUGUUCUUACCACUUCAAGAAUCUAUGAGACAAUAGAAAUUAUAGUACUAAUUUUUUUUAAUGUUUGUAAUAAUAAAAAAGGUAAAAAUUCUAUCUCAAUAAAAAACUGUAUUAUACAGAAGUGACAAAUGUUAAAAAUAUCUGAUCGGUAUUGAAACUCAAGGUUAUUGGAACUGCAACUAUUUAUUUUAUAACAAUAUCAAUGAAUGUUUACUUUUUAUAUAAAAUAAAAUAGUUUCACUUUGUCAA